UGACGGGAAUGGAAGGAGCAGAUGGC
RNAcentral lists this non-coding RNA (26 nucleotides) under Rattus norvegicus (Norway rat). The record is from RNAcentral. Lineage: Eukaryota; Metazoa; Chordata; Mammalia; Rodentia; Muridae.